GCAGCGGUGCGUGAGGAGGAGGAGGCCUUCAGGGAGGCGGCGGCGGCGGGGCACACGCUGCUGCCCCUCCAGCGCUGCAUCUUCUCCGACCACCUCACGCCGGUGCUCGCCUACCGCUGCCUCGUCCGGGAGGACGACCGCGAGGCGCCCAGCUUCCUCUUCGAGUCCGUCGAGCAGGCCUCCGAGGGCACCAACGUGGGGAGGUACAGCGUGGUGGGGGCGCAGCCGGCCAUGGAGAUCGUGGCCAAGGCCAACCAGGUGACGGUCAUGGACCACGAGAUGAGGACCAAGGAGGAGCAGUACGCGGCUGACCCGAUGACCGUCCCAAGGGACAUCAUGGAGCAGUGGAAUCCGCAGAUUACGCUUGAUGGCCUGCCUGAUGCCUUUUGUGGAGGAUGGGUUGGAUUCUUCUCAUAUGAUACGGUGCGUUAUGUUGAGACAAAGAAGCUUCCGUUUUCUAAGGCGCCAGAGGAUGAUAGGAACCUUCCUGACAUUCAUUUAGGCCUCUACAAUGACGUAGUCGUUUUUGAUCAUGUUGAAAAGAAAACACAUGUUAUUCAUUGGGUGAGGUUGGACUGCUAUCACUCAAUUGAUGAAGCAUACGAAGAUGGGAAAAACCGGUUGGAAGCUUUGUUAUCAAGAUUGCAUAGCAGUAAUGUCCCAACCCUUUCUGCUGGAUCUAUUAAGCUUAACGUUGGGCAAUUCGGCUCAGCGCUACAAAAAUCAACAAUGUCUAGCGAGGACUAUAAGAAGUCUGUUGUGCAAGCAAAAGAGCACAUUCUAGCAGGUGAUAUUUUUCAAGUAGUACUAAGCCAACGUUUUGAGAGACGUACAUUCGCCGACCCUUUUGAGGUGUAUCGCGCGUUGCGUAUUGUCAACCCUAGUCCUUAUAUGGCCUAUCUACAGGCACGAGGUUGUAUUCUUGUAGCAUCAAGUCCUGAGAUUCUUACUCGGGUCGCAAAGAGGACAGUUGUCAAUCGGCCUCUUGCUGGAACAAUCCGUAGAGGAAAAACAAAAGCUGAAGACAAGGUUUUAGAACAGCUCCUGUUGAGUGACGAAAAACAGCGUGCCGAGCACAUUAUGUUAGUAGAUCUAGGUCGGAAUGAUGUUGGAAAGGUGUCCAAACCAGGAACAGUAAAGGUGGAGAAAUUGAUGAAUAUUGAGCGAUAUUCUCAUGUCAUGCAUAUUAGCUCGACGGUUACUGGGGAGCUGUGUGAUGAUCUUACAUGUUAG
RNAcentral lists this ribosomal RNA (1233 nucleotides) under Triticum aestivum (bread wheat). RNAcentral's name for it is "partial small subunit ribosomal RNA". Lineage: Eukaryota; Viridiplantae; Streptophyta; Magnoliopsida; Poales; Poaceae. The record is from RNAcentral.